UGCGGCGGUCAUAGCGGCGGGGUCACACCCGGUCUCGUUUCGAUCCCGGAAGUUAAGCCCGCCAGCGAUCCCGGUUGUACUGCCCUCCGAGAGGGGG
RNAcentral lists this ribosomal RNA (97 nucleotides) under Thermococcus paralvinellae. The record is from RNAcentral. Lineage: Archaea; Methanobacteriati; Methanobacteriota; Thermococci; Thermococcales; Thermococcaceae.